GAUGUAGAACGUAGCGAAAUGCGAUACUUGGUGUGAAUUGCAGAAUCCCGCGAAUCAUCGAGUUUUUGAACGCAAGUUGCGCCCGAAGCCAUUCGGCCGAGGGCACGUCUGCCUGGGUGUCACGCAUCGUUGCCCCCCCAAACUCCGGUUCGGGCGGGGCGGAAGUUGGCCUCCCGUGCGUGCCUGCGCGCGCGGUUAGCCCAAAAGCGAGUCCUCGGCGACGAGCGCCACGACAAUCGGUGGUUUUUUUACCCUCGUUCCUCGUCGUGCGUGUCCCGUCGCCCGAACGCGCUCUUGCGACCCUCACGCGUCGCCUCGGCGGCGCUCCCAACGCGACCCCAGGUCAGGCGGGACUACCCGCUGAGUUUAAGCAUAUCAAUAAGCGGAGGA
This 390-nucleotide unclassified non-coding RNA is filed under the name soil metagenome. Its description in RNAcentral is "partial contains 5.8S ribosomal RNA, internal transcribed spacer 2, and large subunit ribosomal RNA". The stretch from base 1 to 122 matches the Rfam family "5.8S ribosomal RNA", at positions 35 to 154 of the family's 154-position model. The record is from RNAcentral.